GCUGAGGUGAGAGGAUUCCUUGAGGCCAGGAGUUCAAGACCAGCCUGGGCCACACAGCAAGACUCCAUCUCUACCAAAAUAAAAUAAUUAGCUGGAAAUGAUGGCACCCACCUGUAGUCCCAGCUGCUCGGGAAGCUGAGGUGGAAGGAUCUCUUGAGUCCAUGAGUUCAAGACUGCAGUGAGCUAUGAUCACACCACUGCACUCCAGCCUGGGCAACAGUGCAAGAACCUCUAUCAAAUCUCCCAGGAGAUAAUGAGAUCUCAAAACACAUGUGACGCAUAAGGAUGAGACCUUGCCCUGGUGAUUCUGAGUCCCCAGGUAUGGGUGGGGCCCAGAGAUCUGCAUUUUCUUUUCUUUUUUGUUUUUUCUUUGAGAUGGAGUCGUGCUCUGUCUCUCAGGCUGGUGUGCAGUGGCGUGGAGAUCUGCAUUUUCAAUAAAAAC
RNAcentral lists this long non-coding RNA (442 nucleotides) under Homo sapiens (human). RNAcentral's name for it is "HSALNT0248920". Lineage: Eukaryota; Metazoa; Chordata; Mammalia; Primates; Hominidae. The record is from RNAcentral.